Molecule: long non-coding RNA, 497 nt
Organism: Mytilus trossulus (common blue mussel)
Lineage: Eukaryota; Metazoa; Mollusca; Bivalvia; Mytilida; Mytilidae
Exons: 3
Source: RefSeq, a predicted model, not a curated record
UGUAUGUUCCAUAUUGACGCGCUUUUAUGAUGACGAUAAUAACAUCAACGGCAAAAUUUGAGACAACAGUAGAUCAGCCGGGAAGGAUAGGAUACAGAAAUACAGCAGAGAAAAUAUCGGUUUACCAGCCACUUGCAGAAAUUCUUAAAGUUACAGAAAGAGACGAUUGUUACGACAAGUCAGAGAUGGCGGAUCCUUUUUGAAUCAUCUACGGAUUGCUAUUGUUCAUGUAUCUAAAAAUGGAUCCCACCAGAACACAAAGACUAAGUCUAUGAGGAAAAUAAAGUUUUAGAUCAACGACUAAAAUUUGUCAUGAACAGAUAAAAUAUGAGAUAGAGAUAGCACUGGUAUGAAAGGUGACAGUAGAACAUUGAAAUAAUUUGAAAGAAACAAGUUGGCAAAGAUAUAUAUCACAUGCAUAGGAAGAGCAAUGGAAAAUAACAUUGAAGCAGAAUUAUGAAACAGUUAUUAAAAAAAACAUUAAAUUUAGAGAGAGA